AUUUAGUACCAUGGCUACUAUGUACAUUAAGUUGGGGCAGAUGAAAAAAGCUGAAGACUCUUUGAAAAGUGUUGAGAGCAGAAUCACAGGCCGUGAUCGAAUUCCAUAUCAUUAUCUCAUCAGUCUCUAUGGUAGUCUUGGUAAAAAGGAAGACGUUCUCCGAAUCUGGAAAACCUACCAAUCGCAGUUUCCAAAUAUUCCAAACCUGGGAUAUCAUUCUGUA
RNAcentral lists this unclassified non-coding RNA (223 nucleotides) under Hevea brasiliensis (rubber tree). Lineage: Eukaryota; Viridiplantae; Streptophyta; Magnoliopsida; Malpighiales; Euphorbiaceae. The record is from RNAcentral.